RNAcentral lists this long non-coding RNA (969 nucleotides) under Homo sapiens (human). RNAcentral's name for it is "long intergenic non-protein coding RNA 2613". Lineage: Eukaryota; Metazoa; Chordata; Mammalia; Primates; Hominidae. The record is from RNAcentral.
CUUUCUCUGGGCGCCUGCGCGCCUACCAUGACAAGCCAUUUCAGGCGAGCCGAGCCCCAGAGCCAUGUGUCUGGUGCGCAGUGUUAACAGGGCAGUUAUACCUUUUACAGACAACUGUGGCUCCAAGUCAAGUAUGAACUUACACAAACAGUUUAUAUAACAAGUGGAGGUGUGCGCCUGCGUGCCAAACUUGCUGACUCGUGCAGGCCUGGAUACCCGCCUCAGACUAUUCCUUGACCGAAGCACUUCCAGGGCAGGAAACUGAAGCUCUUGGGAAGGUGGAAGUUGCACGUGGUCUCACAGUCAACUGUGCCAGAAUAGGAGGCCAGGAACCAUCUCUGCUGGAGGAAGACCCACCACGCAUCCCUUCAAGAAUGCCAAGGUCCAGAGCAAGUGCUUCCCUUCUAUGGGCACAGGAGGGCUGUGGGAGCCCACAGAAUGUGCUUCUGGCCAGAGUGGGAUCCCCGAGGAAGAUGUUAAGACCUCUAAUAAUAUUUAAGAGCAAAAUUAGCACAGCUCCAGCCCAUGGGCAAGUUAAGAGACAGGAGUAGUGUCUGUGGAGUGGAGGAAAGCAGAGGCUGCCGCUGACCAUCCUGCAGCCCUCGCUCUGGCUGCUCACAGCUCUCCACCUUCUCUGGACUUCGUCACUUCAGUAUGUGAAACAACCAUUUCAACCAGCUUGGACAAAAGAGAGAAGCCAAGAUGGGGCUGAGAAACCAAUGCAGGCAGGCCCAGGGACCCAGGAGUCAGGGACCAGGUGCUACCAGAUGCUUGCUCCGACUCGUGUUGCUGCUGUCUUCUCUGUGCCUCAACUCUGUCCUCUGUCACUGCAGGCAGCUUCCUCCCAAGGUGCCAUGAGAAGACAUGCCUUGCUUCUCCUCUUCACCUUCUGCCAUGAUUGUAAGUUUCCUGAGGCUUCCCCAGCUAUGCAGAACUGUGAGUCGAUUAAACCUCUUUUCUUCAUAAAUU